This 427-nucleotide ribosomal RNA is filed under the name uncultured beta proteobacterium. Its description in RNAcentral is "partial 16S ribosomal RNA". It matches the Rfam family "Bacterial small subunit ribosomal RNA", at positions 355 to 774 of the family's 1533-position model. Lineage: Bacteria; Pseudomonadati; Pseudomonadota; Betaproteobacteria. The record is from RNAcentral.
UGGGGAAUUUUGGACAAUGGGGGCAACCCUGAUCCAGCCAUGCCGCGUGCGGGAAGAAGGCCUUCGGGUUGUAAACCGCUUUUAGCCGGGAAGAAAAGGCGGAGACUAAUACUCUCCGUUCUUGACGGUACCGGCGGAAUAAGCACCGGCUAACUACGUGCCAGCAGCCGCGGUAAUACGUAGGGUGCGAGCGUUAAUCGGAAUUACUGGGCGUAAAGCGUGCGCAGGCGGUUCGUUAAGUCUGAUGUGAAAGCCCCGGGCUCAACCUGGGAACUGCAUUGGAAACUGGCGGGCUUGAGUGUGGCAGAGGGGGGUGGAAUUCCGCGUGUAGCAGUGAAAUGCGUAGAGAUGCGGAGGAACACCGAUGGCGAAGGCAGCCCCCUGGGCCAACACUGACGCUCAGGCACGAAAGCGUGGGGAGCAAACA